AUGCGGGCCCUUGACCUGCGCGCUGACGCGGUUGGCCUCUCACCUGAGGAGUGGCUCACUAGGUACGACUUGGAGGACCAGCUCUCGGUCAUUUACACCGACAAGGAGGCCUACUGGCGCUUGUGCGGUGCCCAGAAAUGGGUUUUGAAAGGUGAUGCGAACACGGCCUACUUCUAGGCCAUAGCAAAUGGUCGGCGUAGACGCAAUACCAUUCCUCUCCUUUGGGAUGGUGAUUCUCUGCUGUAGUCCCCCCGGGACAUCAGGGCUCAUGUCGAUGGAUUCUAUAGGGCCCUUUUCUCUGCCCCCCCCCUCGGGGAGGCUUAUCUUUGGCCCGCAACUGCUGGUCCGGCCGCCAGCUUGUCUCCGAUGAGGAGAACGCGGCCCUUACGGCCCCCUUCUCAGAGGGCGAGGUCUGGGAUGCCAUUCGCGACAUGA
This 435-nucleotide ribosomal RNA is filed under the name Triticum aestivum (bread wheat). RNAcentral's name for it is "partial small subunit ribosomal RNA". The record is from RNAcentral. Lineage: Eukaryota; Viridiplantae; Streptophyta; Magnoliopsida; Poales; Poaceae.